CCAGACUCCUACGGGAGGCAGCAGUGGGGAAUAUUGCACAAUGGGGGGAACCCUGAUGCAGCGACGCCGCGUGAGUGAAGAAGUCAUUCGUGAUGUAAAGCUCUAUCAGCAGGGAAGAAAAUGACGGUACCUGACCAAGAAGCCCCGGCUAACUACGUGCCAGCAGCCGCGGUAAUACGUAGGGGGCAAGCGUUAUCCGGAUUUACUGGGUGUAAAGGGAGCGUAGGCGGCCAGGCAAGUCAGAAGUGAAAGCCCGGGGCUCAACCCCGGGACUGCUUUUGAAACUGCCAGGCUGGAGUGUCGGAGGGGUAAGUGGAAUUCCUAGUGUAGCGGUGAAAUGCGUAGAUAUUAGGAGGAACACCAGUGGCGAAGGCGGCUUACUGGACGAUCACUGACGCUGAGGCUCGAAAGCGUGGGGAGCAAACAGGAUUAGAUACCCUAGUA
Molecule: ribosomal RNA, 444 nt
Filed under: uncultured bacterium
Lineage: Bacteria
Description: bacterial SSU rRNA
Rfam family: Bacterial small subunit ribosomal RNA
Source: RNAcentral